GAAUGGGCCUUGGCAAAGAAGUAGGGGCUUGAAGCUUCCAAGAAGUAGAAUGCUGAGAAUAGAAAGCUUAUUUACAACAAAUUCAAAUAGUACACCAAGGAGUACGCAGAGAAGGACAAUGAGUUGGUCAGGUUGAAGCUUGAAGCAAGGCUGAAAGGAGGAUUCUAUGUUGAGCCAGACUCUAUGCUUUUGUUUAUCAUUCGUAUCCGUGGGUAGGUCAUGAUCCUUAAUUUAUUUAUAUAUUGAGAUCUUUAUAGUUCUGGUUAUUUUCCUUAUACUUUUAAUUAUUGUAUUUUCAGUUUCAAUGACACUGAUCCAAAGACAAAGAAGAUCUUGUAGCUUUUGCGAUUGAGACAGAUUGAACGAUACCGAGCUGAGAUUAAGAGACUUCAGGAAUCUGAGGCAGAAAUUAAAGCAUUAUAAAAAAAACUAUGCAGCUUUGUUAAAGGAAAAGGAGGAUCAAAUUUCUAGAUUGAACAAAGAAAAUGGCUCAUUGAAACAAAAUCUGGACACAACUACUGCAUCUCUAAAUGCCUCUAGAAUUGAAAACUACAAAGCGACAUCAAAUGGGACCAACUUACACAAGGUA
Molecule: long non-coding RNA, 589 nt
Organism: Rosa chinensis
Lineage: Eukaryota; Viridiplantae; Streptophyta; Magnoliopsida; Rosales; Rosaceae
Exons: 4
Source: RefSeq, a predicted model, not a curated record